UACAGAGGGGGCAAGCGUUGUUCGGAAUUACUGGGCGUAAAGGGCUCGUAGGCGGCCAACUAAGUCAGACGUGAAAUCCCUCAGCUUAACUGGGGAACUGCGUCUGAUACUGGAUGGCUUGGAUUCGGGAGAGGAAUGCGGAAUUCCAGGUGUAGCGGUGAAAUGCGUAGAUAUCUGGAGGAACACCGGUGGCGAAGGCGGCAUCCUGGACCAAUACUGACGCUCAUGUGCGAAAGCGUGGGGAGCAAACAGG
RNAcentral lists this ribosomal RNA (253 nucleotides) under uncultured bacterium. Its description in RNAcentral is "partial 16S ribosomal RNA". It matches the Rfam family "Bacterial small subunit ribosomal RNA", at positions 524 to 776 of the family's 1533-position model. The record is from RNAcentral.